Molecule: ribosomal RNA, 354 nt
Filed under: uncultured bacterium
Lineage: Bacteria
Description: partial 16S ribosomal RNA
Rfam family: Bacterial small subunit ribosomal RNA
Source: RNAcentral
CCUACGGGGUGCAGCAGUGAGGAAUAUUGGUCAAUGGGCGGGAGCCUGAACCAGCCAAGCCGCGUGAGGGAAGAAGGUACAGCGUAUCGUAAACCUCUUUUGUCAGGGAACAAAGGCGGGGACUAGUCCCCGUAUGAGGGUACCUUAAGAAAAAGCAUCGGCUAACUCCGUGCCAGCAGCCGCGGUAAUACGGAGGAUGCGAGCGUUAUCCGGAUUUAUUGGGUUUAAAGGGUGCGGAGGCGGCCUGUUAAGUCAGGGGUAAAAGCCCGGGGCUCAACCCCGGCGAGACGUUGAAUCGGGGGGGCUGGAGUUGGAGAGAAGUACGCGAAAUGCGGGGUGUAGCGGGGAAAGGUU